RNAcentral lists this ribosomal RNA (961 nucleotides) under uncultured bacterium. RNAcentral's name for it is "bacterial SSU rRNA". It matches the Rfam family "Bacterial small subunit ribosomal RNA", at positions 338 to 1334 of the family's 1533-position model. The record is from RNAcentral.
CCUACGGGAGGCAGCAGUCGGGAAUUUUGGGCAAUGGGCGAAAGCCUGACCCAGCAACGCCGCGUGAAGGAUGAAAUCCUUCGGGAUGUAAACUUCGCAAGAACAGGAAGAAUAAGUGAGAGUUAAUAUCUCUUACGAUGACGGUACUGUUUGUAAGCUCCGGCUAACUCCGUGCCAGCAGCCGCGGUAAUACGGGGGGAGCAAGCGUUGUUCGGAUUUACUGGGCGUAAAGGGCGCGUAGGCGGCCACCGCAAGUCGACUGUGAAAUCUCCGGGCUUAACCCGGAAAGGUCAGCCGAUACUGCGGGGCUAGAGUGCAGAAGGGGCAACUGGAAUUCUCGGUGUAGCGGUGAAAUGCGUAGAUAUCGAGAGGAACACCUGCGGCGAAGGCGGGUUGCUGGGCUGACACUGACGCUGAUGCGCGAAAGCUAGGGGAGCGAACGGGAUUAGAUACCCCGGUAGUCCUAGCCUUAAACGAUGAAUGCUUGGUGUCUGGGGUUUUAUAGUCCCCGGGUGCCGUCGCUAACGCUUUAAGCAUUCCGCCUGGGGAGUACGGUCGCAAGACUGAAACUCAAAGGAAUUGACGGGGACCCGCACAAGCGGUGGAGCAUGUGGUUUAAUUCGACGCAACGCGAAGAACCUUACCUGGGCUAGAAUGCCUCUGACCGGCGUAGAGAUACGCCUUCCUGGGUAAAACCAGGCAGAGUGCAAGGUGCUGCAUGGCUGUCGUCAGCUCGUGUCGUGAGAUGUUGGGUUAAGUCCCGCAACGAGCGCAACCCUUAUCAAUAGUUGCCAGCGGUUCGGCCGGGCACUCUAUUGAGACUGCUGUUGACAAAACGGACGAAGUUUGGAUGACCUCCCUUCCCUUGGCCCUCUGUCCUCCGCUUCCUUUCCUUCUAUGUCACUUUACCCGCCGCACCUAUCUUCGUACCUAUCGAAAAGUUUUUUAUCCAUUGGAUUCG